AACGAACGCUGGCGGCGUGCUUAACACAUGCAAGUCGAGCGGUGAAGGCGGAGCUUGCUCUGCCGGAUCAGUGGCGAACGGGUGAGUAACACGUGGGCAACCUGCCCCUCACUUCGGGAUAACUCCGGGAAACCGGGGCUAAUACCGGAUACGACCUCCUUGGGCAUCUUUGGAGGUGGAAAGUUUUUCGGUGAGGGAUGGGCCCGCGGCCUAUCAGCUUGUUGGUGAGGUAGUGGCUCACCAAGGCGACGACGGGUAGCCGGCCUGAGAGGGCGACCGGCCACACUGGGACUGAGACACGGCCCAGACUCCUACGGGAGGCAGCAGUGGGGAAUAUUGCGCAAUGGGCGAAAGCCUGACGCAGCAACGCCGCGUGCGGGAUGAAGGCCUUCGGGUUGUAAACCGCUUUCAGCAGGGAAGAAGCCGCAAGGUGACGGUACCUGCAGAAGAAGCACCGGCUAACUACGUGCCAGCCGCCGCGGUAA
This 485-nucleotide ribosomal RNA is filed under the name uncultured bacterium. RNAcentral's name for it is "partial 16S ribosomal RNA". It matches the Rfam family "Bacterial small subunit ribosomal RNA", at positions 28 to 523 of the family's 1533-position model. The record is from RNAcentral.